AACGAACGCUGGCGGCAUGCCUAACACAUGCAAGUCGAACGAGACCUUCGGGUCUAGUGGCGCACGGGUGCGUAACGCGUGGGAACCUGCCCUUAGGUUCGGAAUAACUCCCCGAAAGGGGUGCUAAUACCGGAUAAUGUCUUCGGACCAAAGAUUUAUCGCCUUUGGAUGGGCCCGCGUUGGAUUAGCUAGUUGGUAGGGUAAAAGCCUACCAAGGCGACGAUCCAUAGCUGGUCUGAGAGGAUGAUCAGCCACACUGGGACUGAGACACGGCCCAGACUCCUACGGGAGGCAGCAGUGGGGAAUAUUGGACAAUGGGCGAAAGCCUGAUCCAGCAACGCCGCGUGAGUGAUGAAGGCCUUAGGGUUGUAAAGCUCUUUUACCCGGGAUGAUAAUGACAGUACCGGGAGAAUAAGCACCGGCUAACUCCGUG
RNAcentral lists this ribosomal RNA (433 nucleotides) under uncultured bacterium. RNAcentral describes it as "partial 16S ribosomal RNA". It matches the Rfam family "Bacterial small subunit ribosomal RNA", at positions 29 to 507 of the family's 1533-position model. The record is from RNAcentral.